This 906-nucleotide ribosomal RNA is filed under the name Escherichia coli. Its description in RNAcentral is "partial 23S ribosomal RNA". It matches the Rfam family "Bacterial large subunit ribosomal RNA", at positions 296 to 1212 of the family's 2925-position model. Lineage: Bacteria; Pseudomonadati; Pseudomonadota; Gammaproteobacteria; Enterobacterales; Enterobacteriaceae. The record is from RNAcentral.
AGCCCAGAGCCUGAAUCAGUGUGUGUGUUAGUGGAAGCGUCUGGAAAGGCGCGCGAUACAGGGUGACAGCCCCGUACACAAAAAUGCACAUACUGUGAGCUCGAUGAGUAGGGCGGGACACGUGGUAUCCUGUCUGAAUAUGGGGGGACCAUCCUCCAAGGCUAAAUACUCCUGACUGACCGAUAGUGAACCAGUACCGUGAGGGAAAGGCGAAAAGAACCCCGGCGAGGGGAGUGAAAAAGAACCUGAAACCGUGUACGUACAAGCAGUGGGAGCCUCUUUUAUGGGGUGACUGCGUACCUUUUGUAUAAUGGGUCAGCGACUUAUAUUCUGUAGCAAGGUUAACCGAAUAGGGGAGCCGAAGGGAAACCGAGUCUUAACUGGGCGUUAAGUUGCAGGGUAUAGACCCGAAACCCGGUGAUCUAGCCAUGGGCAGGUUGAAGGUUGGGUAACACUAACUGGAGGACCGAACCGACUAAUGUUGAAAAAUUAGCGGAUGACUUGUGGCUGGGGGUGAAAGGCCAAUCAAACCGGGAGAUAGCUGGUUCUCCCCGAAAGCUAUUUAGGUAGCGCCUCGUGAAUUCAUCUCCGGGGGUAGAGCACUGUUUCGGCAAGGGGGUCAUCCCGACUUACCAACCCGAUGCAAACUGCGAAUACCGGAGAAUGUUAUCACGGGAGACACACGGCGGGUGCUAACGUCCGUCGUGAAGAGGGAAACAACCCAGACCGCCAGCUAAGGUCCCAAAGUCAUGGUUAAGUGGGAAACGAUGUGGGAAGGCCCAGACAGCCAGGAUGUUGGCUUAGAAGCAGCCAUCAUUUAAAGAAAGCGUAAUAGCUCACUGGUCGAGUCGGCCUGCGCGGAAGAUGUAACGGGGCUAAACCAUGCACCGAAGCUGCGGCAGCGAC